Molecule: non-coding RNA, 231 nt
Organism: Camellia sinensis
Lineage: Eukaryota; Viridiplantae; Streptophyta; Magnoliopsida; Ericales; Theaceae
Source: RefSeq, a predicted model, not a curated record
UUUUUCCUGUGGACUGCUGUUUAUGUACAUUUUAAAAUGGAUCGUCCAUGCCUGCGUUUCGCUUUGGUGGCCAUACCCUUUUCUUGAUUUGUCAUCUACAUUUGCUCCACUAUGAUGGUUUUAGACAUACAAAUGUGGAUAUGAUUUUUUUUGACAAGUACGGAAGGGCAUUGUUUUUAUACGUCUACCCGUAUAUAUAAUGGUUUGUACAAAUUAUUUUUUUGGUGUGGU